RNAcentral lists this ribosomal RNA (119 nucleotides) under Vigna angularis (adzuki bean). Lineage: Eukaryota; Viridiplantae; Streptophyta; Magnoliopsida; Fabales; Fabaceae. The record is from RNAcentral.
AGGUAUGAUCAUACCAGCACUAAUGCACCGGAUCCCAUCAGAACUCCGCAGGUAAGCGAGCUCGGGCGAGAGUAGUACUAGGAUGGGUGACCUCCUGGGAAGUCCUCGUGUAGCACCUC